UGGUUAUUCCACACACACGCACACUCCUUUUUUGGAUGUUGUGUUUUCUGUGUGUGUGGCACUCGUCGCCUUUGUGGGAAAUCCGUGUGGCACUUGUUUGGUGUUGUUGGCAGACUUCGGUCUUGCCUUCACACACGUUUCACAUGUGUCAUGCCUUCCCUCAACUCACGGCAUCCAGGAAUGAAGGAGGGUAGUUCGGGGGAGAACGUACUGGUGCGUCAGAAGAGACCAUUGUAGUCCACACUGCAAACGAUGACACCCAUGAAUUGGGGAGUUUUUGGUCGUAGGCGUGGUCGGGCUUGAUUAUAUUAUUUUUCAUCCCGUUCCUCGUCUCGCCAAUGAAUAUAUUAAAUUUACGUGCAUAUUCUUUUUGGUCUUCGUUUUUUUACGGCGAGGACCUUUAACGGGAAUAUCCUCAGCACG
Molecule: ribosomal RNA, 423 nt
Filed under: Trypanosoma cruzi
Lineage: Eukaryota; Euglenozoa; Kinetoplastea; Trypanosomatida; Trypanosomatidae
Description: partial 18S ribosomal RNA
Source: RNAcentral